RNAcentral lists this ribosomal RNA (515 nucleotides) under uncultured bacterium. RNAcentral's name for it is "partial 16S ribosomal RNA". It matches the Rfam family "Bacterial small subunit ribosomal RNA", at positions 28 to 523 of the family's 1533-position model. The record is from RNAcentral.
GAUGAACGCUGGCGGCGUGCCUAAUACAUGCAAGUCGAGCGAAUGGAUUAAGAGCUUGCUCUUAUGAAGUUAGCGGCGGACGGGUGAGUAACACGUGGGUAACCUGCCCAUAAGACUGGGAUAACUCCGGGAAACCGGGGCUAAUACCGGAUAACAUUUUGAACCGCAUGGUUCGAAAUUGAAAGGCGGCUUCGGCUGUCACUUAUGGACGGACCCGCGUCGCAUUAGCUAGUUGGUGAGGUAACGGCUCACCAAGGCAACGAUGCGUAGCCAAACUGAGAGGGUGAUCGGCCACACUGAGACUGAGACACGGCCCAGACUCCUACGGGAGGCAGCAGUAGGGAAUCUUCCGCAAUGGACGAAAGUCUGACGGAGCAACGCCGCGUGAGUGAUGAAGGCUUUCGGGUCGUAAAACUCUGUUGUUAGGGAAGAACAAGUGCUAGUUGAAUAAGCUGACACCUUGACGGUACCUAACCAGAAAGCCACGGCUAACUACGUGCCAGCCGCCGCAGUAA